Molecule: transfer RNA, 73 nt
Filed under: Gammaproteobacteria bacterium
Lineage: Bacteria; Pseudomonadati; Pseudomonadota; Gammaproteobacteria
Also listed under: 2 other names
Description: tRNA-Val
Rfam family: tRNA
About the family: Transfer RNA (tRNA) molecules are approximately 80 nucleotides in length. Their secondary structure includes four short double-helical elements and three loops (D, anti-codon, and T loops).
Source: RNAcentral
GGGCGUUUAGCUCAGUUGGUAGAGUAUCUCGGUGACAUCGAGAGGGUCGUAGGUUCAAAUCCUACAACGCCCA